GCCAGAGUAGCUCAGUAGGUAGAGCGCCUCACUUGUAAUGAGGAUGUCGCGGGUUCAACUCCUGUCUCUGGCUCCA
This 76-nucleotide transfer RNA is filed under the name Desulfobacteraceae bacterium 4572_187. RNAcentral's name for it is "tRNA-Thr". It matches the Rfam family "tRNA". From Rfam's summary of the family: Transfer RNA (tRNA) molecules are approximately 80 nucleotides in length. Their secondary structure includes four short double-helical elements and three loops (D, anti-codon, and T loops). RNAcentral also lists the same sequence under 1 other name. The record is from RNAcentral. Lineage: Bacteria; Pseudomonadati; Thermodesulfobacteriota; Desulfobacteria; Desulfobacterales; Desulfobacteraceae.